GUAGGGUGCGAGCGUUAAUCGGAAUUACUGGGCGUAAAGCGUGCGCAGGCGGUUUUGUAAGACAGAUGUGAAAUCCCCGGGCUUAACCUGGGAACUGCAUUUGUGACUGCAAGACUAGAGUGCGGCAGAGGGGGGUAGAAUUCCACGUGUAGCAGUGAAAUGCGUAGAUAUGUGGAGGAAUACCGAUGGCGAAGGCAGCCCCCUGGGUCGACACUGACGCUCAUGCACGAAAGCGUGGGGAGCAAACAGGAUUAGAUACCCUGGUAGUCCACGCCCUAAACGAUGUCAACUAGGUGUUGGGGAAGGAGACUUCUUUAGUACCGCAGCUAACGCGCUAAGUUGACCGCCUGGGGAGUACGGUCGCAAGAUUA
RNAcentral lists this ribosomal RNA (371 nucleotides) under uncultured bacterium. RNAcentral's name for it is "bacterial SSU rRNA". It matches the Rfam family "Bacterial small subunit ribosomal RNA", at positions 527 to 896 of the family's 1533-position model. The record is from RNAcentral.